Molecule: ribosomal RNA, 497 nt
Filed under: uncultured bacterium
Lineage: Bacteria
Description: partial 16S ribosomal RNA
Rfam family: Bacterial small subunit ribosomal RNA
Source: RNAcentral
GAUGAACGCUGGCGGCGUGCCUAAUACAUGCAAGUCGAGCGAACAGACGAGGAGCUUGCUCCUCUGACGUUAGCGGCGGACGGGUGAGUAACACGUGGAUAACCUACCUAUAAGACUGGGAUAACUUCGGGAAACCGGAGCUAAUACCGGAUAAUAUAUUGAACCGCAUGGUUCAAUAGUGAAAGACGGUUUUGCUGUCACUUAUAGAUGGAUCCGCGCCGCAUUAGCUAGUUGGUAAGGUAACGGCUUACCAAGGCAACGAUGCGUAGCCGACCUGAGAGGGGGGAGGCAACAACGGGAAAGAGACAAGGGACAGGAAUCCGAGGGGAGCAGAAAGAGGGAAAUUUCCAGAAAGGGGGGAAAGCCGGAGGAGGCAAGGAGGGGGGAGGAAGGAAGGUGUGAGAAUAGAAAAACUGUUUUAUAGGGAAAAAAAAAAUGGGAAAGAAACUAUGACGGUCUGGACGGAACAAAAUAAAAAAGCCACGGAAAACUCCGUG